GACAUAGGUGGCGAACGUUAUCCGGAAUUAUUGGGCGUAAAGCGUGUGUAGGCGGAUCUGUAAGUACCUUGUGAAAUCCCACGGCUCAACCGUGGAACUGCUUGGUAUACUGCGGGUCUUGAGCCACCUAGGGGCAAGUGGAACAAACGGUGGAGCGGUGAAAUGCGUAGAUAUCGUGUGGAACGCCAAUGGUGAAAACAACUUGCUGGGGGUGUGCUGACGCUGAGACACGAAAGCCAGGGGAGCAAACGGG
Molecule: ribosomal RNA, 253 nt
Filed under: uncultured bacterium
Lineage: Bacteria
Description: partial 16S ribosomal RNA
Rfam family: Bacterial small subunit ribosomal RNA
Source: RNAcentral